RNAcentral lists this long non-coding RNA (272 nucleotides) under Panax ginseng (ginseng). Its description in RNAcentral is "long non-coding RNA (PGIN_LNC010090)". The record is from RNAcentral. Lineage: Eukaryota; Viridiplantae; Streptophyta; Magnoliopsida; Apiales; Araliaceae.
UGACAUCUUCCAAGGACCACUUCUCUUCAGAAAUAUUACCAUUGGCCCUAACGAAACAGUCAACAUACUUGCAUACAAAAAUGCCACAGUCUGAGUUGUUUUGUUGUUUCGGUCGAAUCUUUAAGGUCUGCAUAGUAGGAUUACCGCUGGGCCACUUAAGCAUCGGAUUACCAUUUCACAAACAAAAUGGUAUCAAAUGUACCUGCAUGUACAAAGUAGUUGGUUAAUAAUUUUUUAAUAUUAAAGGACAUUAUAAAAUUAAAAUAUUUUAA